UUUUUUUUUUUUUUUUUUUGUGUUGAGAAAUUCAACAAUGUUUUGCUCAGAGAUGGUGCGCGUAUCAGCUCUAAUCACGGCGUAUGAUAAACCAAAAGGACCUAAUUAUUGAGAGACCUCUUCUGACAUUCUCAAGACCUACUUAAUUUUGAUGUUUAGCAAAACCUUUCUACCACCCCCGCAAAAAAACAAAAAUGAAGAGGAAGAAAAAGGCUAAAAAGAAAAGAAAAUUAAAGCAAGGGGCAUAUAUGGAGCGCAGCCAAAUGCGCCGACCAACAACAAUGCAAUUGAUCAAGCGACAGCAAAAUGCCAGAGACUUCGAGGGCUCAUAUGAGCUUAAUAAAUGAUGACGCAUGCGCAGGCUUUGAGGGUCUAGUUUUGUUUUGCAAGUCUUUAGAACACUGCAAGUAAGUUGCGCCUUGACUAAACAUAAAACCGUCAAAAUAGAAAGGCAAUAGAUAGUGUACGUAAUAUGGUCUUAGAAAAUGGGAUUCCAAUUCUUGCUAGGGAGUAGGAUCAUUCUCUUAUAUCUACACAAGUAUUAGGCAAAAAAGUAAUUACUCCGUAUAAGUAUAAUAAGCCAAACGAGUCGACGGUUAGCAGUUGGAAUAUACAGGCGUGUAUACAAUACAGGCGUGGAUAAUUUCAUUUCAUUUUACAAGUUGAGUUGAGAUGUCAUCCAUAUCCCAAUUGAAACUGCGCCAAUUGUAGCCAAAGCUUGGGCCAACUCAUAUACCAAAUUUUGCUGCCGGAGAGGCACGCUUGCCCAGUCGGUCCGUCUGUACAUAGAAAAAACGGACAGCAAUAAUCAGUAAAAGAGCAUAUAAAAUUUCUCAAGAGUGAAGUAGUGUUGGUUUCGGUCGUAUGGAAUAUCUACUAACAACACAUCCCACAACCAGGAUUCAUAUAACAAAAUUACGUUCCCUUUUCUAAGGGGAAACAUCCAAAAGAAAGAAUAGCCUUCUUGCCAGCUUCGUGCACUAACCUUUCAUGUGAUCAAUCUUGUCUGGUUAGUGUCAUUGAACCUUGUACUAGAUGAGUUAGUAAGAGCUACCAAGAGAGACAUUUUUUGGUUGGUUACCGCCCUCAUUUAAAGCCAUCUCAUUUUACUUCUAGGUUAGGAAGACCAAAAUGACGAGAACGGACAUAAACCAGAAGAGCCAGCACGUACCCUAAAUCAGCAACCACAAUGCUGAUGUUAUCUUGUGACCCUCGUUCCUGUAGUAAUUAGCAAAUUUUCGGCAUAAGAGCUAUAAAAGCAAAUGAAUCUCAGAACGACCAUGGAGACAGUUUUUUUUUUUUUGAGUUGCAGUUUCCGUUUAUUACCAGUGCCGUCUGAGCAAGGGCUUCACAAGCUCUCUGUAAUCAGAGCAAAGAAAAUUAGAUAAUGCCUACUGUACUGCGGGAUCAAUUAAGGAGCCAUGGCAGAUUCCUUACCUGCACAUCUCCAUGUUCUCGAAGUUGAUUUCUAACAAAAUCAACUGCAUCUGAACUGAAACAUCGUAAAAUUUCUCAACCAUUAUGCUCUUCAGGAUGACUGGAUUACCAGUAUAAGGAAGAUGAAUGAAUGACUAAUUGCUUGAUAGGGCAAAAGGGCAAACUUCCAAAAGCUCUAAGAAUAAAACCUGUUUACGUAAUCCCACAAUCCAUCAGAUGCUAAUAUUACACAUUCAGCAUCUGAUUCCAAAGCAACUUGGGAAACAUCAGGACAUGCUGUAACCAAGUCUCCAGUAAAUUGUAUCCUGAAAUAAUCCCAAAAGGCUCUUGCAUUAUAAAAGAGAAGUUUGCAAAUUUUUUAUUAAUUCAAGAGUGGACUUCCUAAGGGAAGUCUAACUUAAAACUUCUCUUGAAGUGCAUUUGAGAUUUAUCAUGCUUCCAGCCUUAGUACCAAAUCUGUAAUGACCUAGGGAAUCAUCUUAUAAAAAUUUGAUUUGGCAUUUAUCUCACAUUUGGAACACAAUCUGACUCAUCAUUUUUUGCAUAAAAAUAAUUCAACAAAGGAUAACCUAAGGACAGCCCAAGAAAAUUUGAUUUUCCUGCACUGUAGAAGUGGUUGAUACUGAAUAGACAAAAUGUUAAAAACAGAUUCCACCAUAAUUAUUAUGGUCCAGCGCUUUAGGGACAACUAAAUUCACCACUCUAGUUUCAGCAGUGAUAAGAAUACAAGUGAACGAAAUACAUUUGUUUGUAGAAAAUGGAAUAUCACGUACCUGGAAAUGAACUUUUGGGACCACCUGCCUUCCUCAACUCCCUUCUCCAGCAUCCUUCACAGCAACAUGUAUAAAUAUUAACAGAAGAUUCAUAAUGCAUAGGAUCUCUUAGAUUCUCAAGUAGAUAUAUGGCAUGGCAACAAAUUCAUUGUGUCAAUUGAGGAUAAUGAGGAAUACACAUACUCAUUCUUCCUGGUCUUAAACCGCACGUCACCAAAAGCACGUGACACUGCAAUGUCUCCACAAAUUCUGCCAUUGCUUAUCUGUAGACACCACAUAAAAAAUUUCCAUUAUGUCUAUAUUUCUAUGCCCUGUUCUUAAAUUGCAAGAUAUGUCAGAACAAAAUGAGCUUAAUUGCGACAGGGAUAGCAAAAAAACUGUGUUAGCAAAAAGAAGGGGAAAAAAUUAAGGCAAGACUAUUCCACACCAUCCCAGGGAAAAGGUAAAAGUCUAGCAUUGUUUGUAAACUAAAAUGGAAUUAGCUUCAAUGUAUAGCCCUCAACUUGUAUUGAGCAGUUGUUAUCGACUUGAGCAAAAAAACAAAAAAGAAUUGUCCCCUAAAGUACCUAGUCAGCUAAGAACAAGGAGCAUAUUGAAAUUCAAGAAGUGUUAUUCAUUGUUUGAGUAGCAUAUUGGAAUUUUCAUGGCCAGUAAAUGCCCACUUGGUAAGGACUUGUCAUAGUAAUGGUAUUAAAAGACAUGACUUUAUCAGUUUUUCCUUUGAGAGAUUGAAUUUAACUCCAGAUGCAACACCGUGAAGGUUUUCAGAGCAUAGCAAAUGCAGAAAGAUCUAAUUCUAAGGGCAGCAUAAUCAUUCUAGACAAGAUAGCUGAUACAACUGAAAGAAAAGCAAUCAAAUUAAGAAUUCAAGAAAAGAAAACACACCCAUCCACCUGCUUCUCUGAUACGCCUGAUUUCUUCGAGAGACGCUUUGUUGCUUCCAUAUGGACGAUGAGAACUGGUUAACACUUCUGCUUUUCCAGAUCGUGACAGCACCUAAACCAAAGUGAUUGAUAAAGGAAAAGAGCUGGGUUUGGCAUCUGUUUGGUAUGAGUAGACCAUCACAAAAAAAAUGGAAAAGCAUAAUCAUGAAAACUUCAAAGAGAUUACCACGCAUGAGUCACCAACGUGAGAGAUGAACAAUGUAUCAUCUCCAAUUAGGAUCACAGUAGCUGUUGAGCCAGAAUCCCUCUCCUCAGCGCUCGUCUCAAGCCUUUACAAAAUCAAACAGCGUCUAAACCUUCAACGCAAUCAUAUACAAUGUAGAAUCAUAUUGAGACUAGAUUACAUGUCCAGCGCACAGAUAUUAAUGAGGCAGUAAGAAUCUUCACCAGGAAUAUACAUGGGUUUACCAGUUCAAGAGUUUCAUAUCAGCACUUUCAAAAGCCUCUUCUAACGCCUUCUUUACUGUGUCAAACCCCUUCUCCCUCAGUAAAAGUCCACCUUGUAAUGCUGCCACGCAUUCUUUGUACAACUCAUUUCUGGAACCAGUACAUUGAAUUAAGCAUCAAUUUUUCCCCAGUAAAAAGUAAUGUGGCGGUAGAAAUCAUGAAAGUUAACUGUAGCAGACCCCAGAAAAACCAUGAAGUUACUGGCACAAAAGUGAGGUUAAAUUACACAAUAGUAUUUUUUUUAGUAGUGAUUGAUUAGUGACACUUAGAUGAUCGCUGAAUACAUCCAGGGACUCCCUAUAGGAUUCAAUAAAAAUGGAGAAGCAAUUUAGAAAGCUGCAAAAGAUGGUACGGAUGACUCAGAGCAUCAAAAGCUCAUGCACUUCCCCCCCCCCCCCCCCUCUUAAUGGUUCGUAUGUAAUAAGCCACAGCACCAAUUAGCCAAACCUGAGAAAUUUGACAGAAGAGAAACCAGCAUGGCCGUCGAAAACAGCUGCAUAAGAGAAGCCAGCAAGAUCCUCUGACCGAACAAUAAUGACAUCAUCCUCCAUCUCUUCGCGGACACCUUGUACAAGGGAAGAACCCCAUCUAAUGCUGGAAACACCUGUCAAAGAAGAUGGGGCAUCAAUUGCAAUGGCUGAGCAGCAUCUGCCUCCCCCACCCUUAACCGCGACGGUGUUUUUUGUGGCCUUGUUGUUCAAUUCGUAGUUGCAGUAUCCCCUGUGGUUUAAGAGAAACCUCCGAAGUUGUGGGCUAGACAAAGCCAUUAAUGAAGUAGAAGUCUUGAUGAAAAGCAGAGCUUCAGAGGGGUUCCUGAACAACCUUUGAAGUUGCCAGCUUCUGCUGCUGUUUAUAGUACGGUGAGAAUGGGCCAAAGGAAAGCGUGUGGUUUAGAACGGGAAGGAUAAGAUUCUGGGAACGAAGCCUCACCUCUAACUAAUUUUAGCGGCUUAGAUUUCAGAUUCUGUCCACUCCAGAACAAAAAUUAUUAGUUCAAUUAUUCUUACAGAUCAAAUUUAUUAUUACAAGUUUUCUGGGAUGGAACCUCCAAGGAUAGGAAAUGGGAAUCACCAGCUCCAGUCAUGUCAACCGUAGAAUUUCGAUGUAAACCUGAAUUAUAAAUGAGUUGAUGCAAAAUUUACUACUAUUGUUGUGCUAAUUUAUUAGGUAAUUGGACAGACCCGUAACUAGAGUGGCCCGAAUUCACAAGGAUAUAUCAAUUAAUAGAUAACCCAAAAUUACACACUAAAACAAAAUGGAUUAAGUGACAACUUAGCUUUGGAUGUACGCUUACAUGUGCAUGAUUUAAAUUUUAAAUUUAAAUUUAUAUUAUAUAGCAAUGAUUUAAAUCUACCAACAUAAAAAUUAUAUACUGAGAGUGUAUAAAAAAUUAUCCAAACAAAAUUAUACACGAGUCUCAAUUCGUAUAUAACCCAAGAUUUACUCGAAAUUGGUAGACCAAUUUGCACAUUCUUGGAGAACUUAAAUGAUAUUAUAGACUCUUUUUGGGGGGGGGGGGAAAUUUUCUUAUCGUUAUUAAAGGGGGGAAAAAACUGAAUGUGUUCUUUGUAGAAUCAUACAAUAUCAUUUACAGACAUAUGGACUAUUAACAAUUUAAUUGGGGAAAAAAUGAAGCACUCCAAAUAGGCCCCUCUCCCCUCGGGUUUUGGAUGACGUUAAAGAUAACACUGCAAAUGAUUAAUGAAGAUUUCAUGCUCAGGGAAAUUGGCUUCACCUGACUACAUUUCACAGAAAUUUUUACCCGGAAAAUUAUGUACUUUACUAAUUACUACUCUGUUAUUUGGACAGAAGAUUAUUUGAAAUAAUUAUUAUAUCACUUUUUUGUGAUGUGCUGUGAAUGAAAUAAAAAGAUGUGUUAAAGAUUAUAUUUAUGAUGCAAGCAAAUAAUUUUUGGCUAAAUAAUGGCCGUCCAAACAAAAUAUUAAUGUGGUCGGUCAUAUUAAUUCCUGGUCGUCGUCGUCGUUCGAGUAGCAUGGGGUUCCCUCAAUUUCUUUCGCCUAGUUUAGCAUGAUCAUCCAAAGCUUGCGAGAAUUUUAAUUAUGAAAAUAUCUUUCUUUUUCACACGUACCAGGAAAACAAAAAGUCUUUUCACAUCGAAGAGAGACGUUAUCUAGUUCCACGAGAACAAAAAGAAAAUAAAAGGAAAAAAAAAAUGAAAAAAGCUAAUAGAAAAAAAAAAAAGAAUUUAAGAUAGCAGGGACAAUAUUGUUCAAACAUAUCAUUCAAGGGAGCAAAAUGCCCAUUAUUAUAGUUUAGGAGGUAAACUGCAGUUGGGUAUAUAAUUUGUGUGGGUUUUUUGCAUAUAACCCUAAUUUUUUUGAUAGAUCAUCCAGUUGUUUGUGCUAAUUUAUAGAGGCAAAGGUUAAACUGAUUUCAAAAACCAUCCUUACAUAGCCUAUUAUUAUAAAACCAAGAAACCAAGGCGAAAGGAAGAAAUGCUCGAGUGCUAAAAUCUGAAAGUAUGUUCUCAUCAUAAAAUCAACUUCGACCUGAAAUCCGGUGAACAUAAACAUCAUAUGCUCUUUUUUUUUCGGUUGACUGACAGCAUAUUCCAAAGAAAAAAGAAUAAAACACAGAAGGAACAGAAUGAGGCAUACUCUGAACAAUCUCAAGCUCAUGACCAAGGCAGAAAGCCAAUCUAUUCAAGCUUUGAAUAAAUUACUGGAGGAAAAGAAAUCAGGAGUCUUAAAAGAGCCAAACACGAAUUAAAAUUUGUCAAGGUCAAACUUUGAUUCAGUUGAUCCGCCUUCUGCAGCUUGAGCACAUUUAGAUCAGUAAAGGUUUGUAGCUGACAAGAACAUCAAAUCGACAAAGACUCUAAAUGCUCGUUUGCAUUCCACUUCCAGAGGACCACAGCACCACAAAUUUUAAAAUCAGUUAACUAAACAAUUUUCAUUUAAAAAAAAACAGAAAAUUUUUUUCACAUUCCAUCAGGUUCAUUUUAUCCAACAUGAGGUUACAGCCAAACAAAAACUACUUAGAUGCUUUGCUUGUCUGCAUUCCACAUCCACAGCACAACAACAAUGAAAAUCAGUUAGCUAAACAGAAAGAACUAAAAAUCUGAGAAGUUGUUCCACAUUCCAUGUCCUCCUUUUUCAGAAGUAACUUUCAGACCAAUAUUGACUGUUCCAAAAUUCCAAAGCCAAAUCCAACGUAUCUGAUACAAGCACUGUGGGCCCUUCAACAUUAUCAGCAAGAGAAUCUCGAGCAUGAAAAUGCUCGUAGCUCAAUUACCACAGCCGCGAGUGAAUAGAAAUUCAGAUGUACAAUCAAGAUAUGCCUUGCAUCAGACAAGGCUCAAACAGAACACCAAGAAAGACAGCAAUCAGCAAAUCAGCAGAUCAUGAAGUUUUUACAUCCCAUUAAGCAGGUAUGGCCAGGCAACCAAAGUCUAUGAUGCUUCCAAAAGCAAUUAAAACCACACCACAUUAGCGGCACAACUAAGGGCAAAGAGAUGCACAAAUACCAUAACAAGUAUACUAGUUUUGAAAAUCUUCUCAAUCCCCAUCAUUGAUACAAGAUUCUGCUUAUCGCUCUAAAAUUAUACAGUUCAAGAUAAGGAAUCCUAUCUAAGGUAUUGGAAAAAUUUUCCUUUGGAAAAACUUAUGUCAUCAUUGAACAUGGAUGGUUGAGUGAAACGAGAAUACAGCACAGCGCUGCAUGGUUGACAAUGUCCCUAGUGCAAACUAACUGCAAGAAGUCAAUGUUAAGACGAUCUAUGUCAAAUUUUAACGCAGUUAUGUUGGUGUUCUUUCAUAGCAAGAUUUCCUGCCCAGAGAUAAGGUCUAUUAGGAGCUUCCUCAUUUCGAUAGAGGUAGAGCUUCUUCAAUCCAAAUGACAUUGGAGUAACAUUGUCAAUUAAAUGCAUCUUGCUACAGCAGGAGACGGCAUUUUCUCCACUUCAAGAACUGAAAAAUGUGCAGAAACUCCUAAUAGAGAGUGACGCACAUGCAGGACUGUUUUGGAUUCAUAUCAAAGGGAAGUGCAUCACACGUGCACAAGUUGCUAAUCUUCAACUCAAAUAAGUGAUUAAUGCAUGGCCAAGAUGCAGCUCUCCCUCUCUCUAACCAUCCUUUUAUUUUCUUUUAACAAAAUUUCAUAAAUAGCAUUGAUAGGGGCACCUAACACCCUUCCAUUAUCAUUCCAAUUCUUGAUAAGAAGCUAAUGAAUUCAAGGUAUCAUUCCAAAGGUAUUAUGUUUUCAAUUCCAGAAGAAACCUACAAAAUGCAGUCCGGCUUAUGCUUGCAUUAGAUUUUCCAAAUGUCUGUGAAGGAUGUAGAGGGCACAAACACGUUGACAUAUAAAGUGAACCAAAGAACUAGGGCAGAAAAUGAAUAGUCUGUUGCGUCAUCGUAAUUUAAAAAAAAAAGAAUUAAAGAAGGAAAAGGGUGAAAUAGCUAUAGUGCUCAUCAAGCACAGAUUCAGUAAACAAGCUUAAAAACCAUCAUGUAGCACAAUAGUAAACUAAAUAAAUUGCACUUAGUGUUACAUUAACUUGUAUAAGAGUCUCCUAUAUUUUGAAGGCCAAAAGGAUAAGGAUCAUCUGCCAUGACCUAUAACAUUAUCCCGCAUGCCCUCCAACUUCAGAAUAGAUACCAGAUUUUGAGACGAAAAACAACAGCAAUAGAAAACGCUAACACGCUCUUAAGACAUCAGCAGCCACCACU
RNAcentral lists this long non-coding RNA (8289 nucleotides) under Coffea arabica (coffee). RNAcentral's name for it is "long non-coding RNA (CARA_LNC001451)". Lineage: Eukaryota; Viridiplantae; Streptophyta; Magnoliopsida; Gentianales; Rubiaceae. The record is from RNAcentral.